GAUCAUGGCUCAGGACGAACGCUGGCGGCGUGCCUAACACAUGCAAGUCGAGCGGGGACAUGCGACGGAGACAAAGUACUCGUACGGAGUCAAAGAUGUAUGUUCUAGCGGCGGACGGGUGAGUAACGCGUGAGCAACCUGUCCCUUACAGGGGGAUAACACAGCGAAAGUUGUACUAAUACCGCAUGAGACCACAGCAUCACAUGGUGCAGGGGUCAAAGGAGCAAUCCGGUAAGGGGUGGGCUCGCGUCCGAUUAGAUAGUUGGUGAGGUAACGGCCCACCAAGUCGACGAUCGGUAGCCGACCUGAGAGGGUGAUCGGCCACAUUGGGACUGAGACACGGCCCAAACUCCUACGGGAGGCAGCAGGUGGGGAAUAUUGGGACAAUGGGGGGAACCCUGACCCAGCAACGCCGCGUGAGGGAAGAAGGUUUUCGGAUCGUAAACCUUUGUCCCAGGUGAAGAGGAAGAGACGGUAGCCUGGGAGGAAGCCCCGGCUAACUACGUGCCAGCCGCGGC
RNAcentral lists this ribosomal RNA (518 nucleotides) under uncultured bacterium. Its description in RNAcentral is "bacterial SSU rRNA". It matches the Rfam family "Bacterial small subunit ribosomal RNA", at positions 15 to 518 of the family's 1533-position model. The record is from RNAcentral.